This 484-nucleotide ribosomal RNA is filed under the name uncultured bacterium. RNAcentral describes it as "partial 16S ribosomal RNA". It matches the Rfam family "Bacterial small subunit ribosomal RNA", at positions 30 to 507 of the family's 1533-position model. The record is from RNAcentral.
AUUGAACGCUGGCGGCAGGCCUAACACAUGCAAGUCGAGCGGAUGAAGGGAGCUUGCUCCUGGAUUCAGCGGCGGACGGGUGAGUAAUGCCUAGGAAUCUGCCUGGUAGUGGGGGAUAACGUCCGGAAACGGGCGCUAAUACCGCAUACGUCCUGAGGGAGAAAGUGGGGGAUCUUCGGACCUCACGCUAUCAGAUGAGCCUAGGUCGGAUUAGCUAGUUGGUGGGGUAAAGGCCUACCAAGGCGACGAUCCGUAACUGGUCUGAGAAGAUGAUCAGUCACACUGGAACUGAGACACGGUCCAGACUCCUACGGGAGGCAGCAGUGGGGAAUAUUGGACAAUGGGCGAAAGCCUGAUCCAGCCAUGCCGCGUGUGUGAAGAAGGUCUUCGGAUUGUAAAGCACCUUAAGUUGGGAGGAAGGGCAGUAAGUUAAUACCUUGCUGUUUUGACGUUACCAACAGAAUAAGCACCGGCUAACUUCGUG